Molecule: transfer RNA, 54 nt
Filed under: Oxyrrhis marina
Lineage: Eukaryota; Dinophyceae; Oxyrrhinales; Oxyrrhinaceae
Description: partial tRNA
Source: RNAcentral
GGCCUUCUGGUUAAAACACAAGGCUGAUAACUUGAUGGCCGUAGGUUCGGACCC